GUGGCCUCAAAUCAGGUAGGACUACCCGCUGAACUUAAGCAUAUCAAUAAGCGGAGGAAAAGAAACUAACAAGGAUUCCCCUAGUAACUGCGAGUGAAGCGGGAAAAGCUCAAAUUUAAAAUCUGGGCAGUCUUUGGCUGUCCGAGUUGUAAUCUAGAGAAGCAUUAUCCGCGCUGGACCGUGUACAAGUCUCCUGGAAUGGAGCGUCAUAGAGGGUGAGAAUCCCGUCUUUGACACGGACUACCAGGGCUUUGUGAUGUGCUCUCAAAGAGUCGAGUUGUUUGGGAAUGCAGCUCAAAAUGGGUGGUAAAUUCCAUCUAAAGCUAAAUAUUGGCGAGAGACCGAUAGCGAACAAGUACCGUGAGGGAAAGAUGAAAAGAACUUUGGAAAGAGAGUUAAACAGUACGUGAAAUUGCUGAAAGGGAAACGCUUGAAGUCAGUCGCGUUGUCCAGGGAUCAACUCUUGCUUUUGCUUGGUGUACUUUCUGGUUAACGGGUCAGCAUCAAUUUUGACUAUUGGAAAAAGAUCAAGGGAAUGUGGCAUCUUUAGAUGUGUUAUAGCCCUUGGUUGCAUACAUUAGUUGGGAUUGAGGAACUCAGCACGCCGCAAGGCCGAGNUUUUUUACUACGUACGUGCUAGGAUGCUGCU
Molecule: ribosomal RNA, 649 nt
Filed under: Calonarius cupreorufus
Lineage: Eukaryota; Fungi; Basidiomycota; Agaricomycetes; Agaricales; Cortinariaceae
Description: eukaryotic LSU rRNA
Rfam family: Eukaryotic large subunit ribosomal RNA
Source: RNAcentral